AUUCGUAUAGCAGGUGAUCCCGUUUAUGUUUUUACUCUCUUAACUUCUUUUUAUUUACUGUUCAACAAAGAUUGAGGACUCCUUUCGUUACUGCAAAUUGUUCGAGCUAGAUAUGUACGGUGAUCUUAUCCUUCUUUAUUGAUUUAUUUUGUUGUACAUAUUUAUCUAUGCUUGCAAAUGGGGUCUGAUUUACCGUGUCUUGUUCAAUAGAUAGUAUUCAAUAAGAUCAUGGGUUUCCGUGUCUUGUUCGGCGUGUCUUUCCUCGCGUUCUGCUGUUACUGUGUUUUAACAUGUUGCCAAUGUCUGACAUUCGAUAAUCUGGUUUGGUUGAAAUCUUCCGCGGGAUAAUAAUUAUGCGAUGCCAGUGUUCUUUAUAGCUUAGCUAGCCUAUAGUUUGAAAGACAGAGUGCAUAUCACACUGCACCAAAAGCUUUUUGCAGAACAUAGCUUUGAAUUGGAUUUUUACGUGGAAAUUGCAUGUUAUUUGGCUUCCUUUUUUAAUUGCUCCAGUGGAUGGAGAUUGAUAGUUUGACUGUUCAAGUUGGUGUAUUCUGGCAACAUUUUGCCUUUCAAAAUGAUUUCUCUUUACACGGGUUUGUGCAUGAGUCCUUUCUUGAUUGACAGAGUCAAUUGCUUUGUUGAUUUUUUCACAAAAAUACGAGGAAUAUUUUGAUCUACUGGUAUGGAAUUGUAGUAUUUCAUUGGGAAUCUGCUUUUGGGGAACUUAAUAUUGCAUGUAAGGUGGAGAGAUAUCAAAUAUAAUUAUUUGGAUAAAAGCAUACAGAGCGCUGUAAGGGUGCCAUAGGAUUCACGUUCUUUAUAAUAAAGUUACAAAA
This 836-nucleotide long non-coding RNA is filed under the name Populus trichocarpa (black cottonwood). RNAcentral's name for it is "long non-coding RNA (PTRI_LNC000214)". Lineage: Eukaryota; Viridiplantae; Streptophyta; Magnoliopsida; Malpighiales; Salicaceae. The record is from RNAcentral.